Peromyscus eremicus (cactus mouse) is the source of this 637-nucleotide long non-coding RNA. RefSeq lists it as uncharacterized. NCBI's taxonomy places the organism in Eukaryota, Metazoa, Chordata, Mammalia, Rodentia, Cricetidae. The record is from RefSeq and is a predicted model, not a curated record. The transcript is spliced from 4 exons.
GCCCCGCCGCCCCCCGCCCUGCCCCCCGCGGGCCACCGGGUCGGGGUCGCCGCCGGGGCUCGGUCAGUCGGUACCUUCAUGAAGGUCUCUACCGCGCCUUUGGCCGUGUCCAGGUUGACUGAAAACAGAGGGCUGACAAUUGUCAUGCCACUGGGAAUAAGCACCAUGAAGGUCACCUGUUGCAGCUCGACAACUCAUUCGGAACUGCCUUCUGGAGGCAGCACUGUAAGAUGCCGUUAGCUCAUGGCUGGAUCAAUGCACGCAUGUGCUCCCCCUGUGACACUGAGAUGGUCAUCGCUGAGAAGGAAUAAACUGUUCCAAAGCCAGAAGAGGUGGCACAGAAGGAAGAGUCAUCCUAGAAGAAACUGAUGGAACUGGAACUUACAGCAUGGGGACAGCUUCAGUGGGAAAGACAUGCAAAUAAAAAAAGCGUGAUGAGGUCAGUCUGCUUUGUCCACUGCAGGAUCACUGGGCCCCACUUUGUACAUUUGCCUCAAUAAGCAUUUCUUGAACAAAUCCAGAUUUGCCUCUGAAUUGUCUGAAAGCAGCUCCUAAGGCAGACUGCUCUAUUUUCUCUGAACAUCCGCAGUUUUUCUCUUGCUAUAAUAUGUAUCCAGAUUAAAACUGUGACAGUGAU